Molecule: non-coding RNA, 259 nt
Organism: Pelobates cultripes (western spadefoot toad)
Lineage: Eukaryota; Metazoa; Chordata; Amphibia; Anura; Pelobatidae
Source: the annotation of a GenBank genome assembly
CAUUGCUAUUCUAUAUAAGGAUCCAUCAAGCCAUAUCCACCCAUCUCUGUCCUGCUAGCUGUCCUUUUGUCUCUAUGGUAAUUAAGCCUUUCAUUUUGUAUCUUUUUAUAAAAAAUUAUGCUUUAACUAACUAUCUCAUUUUCUUCCUCGAAACCUAGAACUGAUGUUUAUAAAAUAUUAAGAAUAUUUUCCGUUUCAGCGUUGUUGAUAUCUGAUCCUAUCCGGUUUUGCAGUGACUGCAACUAAUUGAACUCGUCUG